GGGGUUGUGGCUCAGCGGUAGAGCACUCGCCUAACACAUGAGACGCCCUGGGUUUGAUCCUCAGCACCACA
Molecule: transfer RNA, 71 nt
Filed under: Marmota monax (woodchuck)
Lineage: Eukaryota; Metazoa; Chordata; Mammalia; Rodentia; Sciuridae
Description: tRNA.Val
Rfam family: tRNA
About the family: Transfer RNA (tRNA) molecules are approximately 80 nucleotides in length. Their secondary structure includes four short double-helical elements and three loops (D, anti-codon, and T loops).
Source: RNAcentral